UUGCUGAACUGCACCCUGCAUGUUCUACAGUGAAGGUGUUGAACUGUAACCUGAACAUUUUUCUGUUGCAUUUUUGUUGGGAAUGCAUAGUGCUUUAAGACCAGUAACAUCAUUUUUCAUAAUUUAAAAAAACUAAUGUAUAUACAUAACUUACCUACAAUAUGCUGAUCUUUCCUGCUGUAAGGGUAAGAGGUUGGAGAAAUCUCAAACUGGCACUGUCCCAUGGUGUCCAAGGGGUCUCUGCCAUCUUCUUCCUUGUUCUUCUUCAUCUUCUGUACGUGCGCGCUGCUGUGGCUCUCUUCCGGGACCAACUUCCUGUUUUGUGACAUCACUUCCGGAAGUGACGUCACAUAGCAACCGAGUUUUCAGAUGGCGUCGGUAGUGCGGCUUCAUUUCCCGGCUGCAUCUCCAAGGGAGCGGAUGCUUAUUUUGGCUGCUCUCUCUUCACUGCUGACAGGAACAGGCUGCUGACAGGAACAGGCUGCUGACAGGAAUGCUGAAUCUUCACACAGGACAGGAUCACUGCUUCACUUUUGGGUCACCUGAGGGAUUGGAUACUUCAUCUGGAUCGCUCCACCUAGAUCGCUUUGCUUGGAUCGUCUUCACAGAUCGAAUCUGUUGCAUCUUCCUGACUUCAACUUGGAUCGCUUCACUUCUACUAUUAUUGGAUACAUUGGGAGCUCACAGGGAUUUGAUCGCUUCUUCUGGAAUGCUUCACUUGGAUCUCUUCUUCUGGAACACUUCACUUGGAUCACGUUACUUGGAUCAUCUUCACAGAUCGAAUCGGUUGCAUCUUCCUGGUUUCCAGAGUUCCUUUGACAUUCAACUCUGCAUCAAUUUCGGGUCCCCACUGAUCUGAGGGAGUGGAUUGCUUCUUCUGGAUCACUUUGUCUGGAUUGCUUCUUCUGGAACACUUCACUUGGAUAGUGUUACUUGGAUCAUCUUCGCAGAUCGAAUCGGUUGCAUCUUUCCAGGUUUUCUUUGACAGUCAACUGGACUUCACUGAUCUGAGGUCUGUUAUUUUGGUACUACUUGUGUGAUGGGCAUUUCUUCGAAUUGAUGUAUUUCAUCAGGUCUGGGGUCAGUCACUACUAUUAUAGUAUUCACUGGGGGGUGGGGGGCCUGCUAUAACUAAAGGCAUCACUUACAAAUAAUAAAUUAUAUUGUUCUUUACAUAUUUUGUGGUAAAUAUAUCAAUAAAAUAUUAUAAAAGACACAAUGAACUGCAUUUUACUAGUGUGUUUUUUGGGGGAAGGGCUGCUACUACUUACAUUCUUUGGAGGGGGUGGAACAUAGUCUGGGAUCUGUUAUUACUGUAAUGGGGCCAAAGGUCUGGGGUCUGCUACAAUUAUUAUUAUUUCAUACAUGGGUGGGACACAUGGUCUGGGGUCUGCUAUAACAAUAAGUGCAUCACUGAAAAAUAUUACUGAUAAAUGUUAUUGUUCUUUACACAUUUCCUGUCAAAUAUACAGUAUAAAUAAAAUGUUAUAAAUAGACACAAUGAACUGUGUUUUACUAGUGUUUUAUUAUCAAAACAAUGGUGAAGGGAGGAGUCAAGGCAGAGAUUAUCGGGGUCACUUCCACAUGGUGCAAGUGUGUGGGUACACCGUUGUAGGUGUAUACUAUAACAAUGCUGAUUUUGGGUACAUGCUUACAUAUUUUUUUUUCUUAGUAGAAAUCAUGCCCAGCUGCAUUGUGAGUGGCUGCUCUCACUGCAGUCCUCUAAAGGCAUCAUAAUGCACAACUUUCCAGUAUGUCUAAUGAAGAUUAAAAGGUGGCUUCGUCAGAUCGCACUACAUACAAAUCAACAUUUUGGUGAGAUUGACGGAUUUGCCCAAACGAUAUUGGAUAACAAGAAAGUGAGUUCUUAUCGUGU
Long non-coding RNA from Xenopus laevis (African clawed frog), 1876 nucleotides. RefSeq lists it as uncharacterized. The transcript is spliced from 4 exons. The record is from RefSeq and is a predicted model, not a curated record. Lineage: Eukaryota; Metazoa; Chordata; Amphibia; Anura; Pipidae.